RNAcentral lists this ribosomal RNA (497 nucleotides) under uncultured bacterium. RNAcentral's name for it is "partial 16S ribosomal RNA". It matches the Rfam family "Bacterial small subunit ribosomal RNA", at positions 28 to 507 of the family's 1533-position model. The record is from RNAcentral.
GAUGAACGCUGGCGGCGUGCCUAAUACAUGCAAGUCGAGCGAACGGACGAGAAACUUGCUUCUCUGAUGUUAGCGGCGGACGGGUGAGUAACACGUGGAUAACCUACCUAUAAGACUGGGAUAACUUCGGGAAACCGUAGCUAAUACCGGAUAAUAUUUUGAACCGCAUGGUUCAAAAGUGAAAGACGGUCUUGCUGUCACUUAUAGAUGGAUCCGCGCUGCAUUAGCUAGUUGGUAAGGUAACGGCUUACCAAGGCAACGAUGCAUAGCCGACCUGAGAGGGUGAUCGGCCACACUGGAACUGAGACACGGUCCAGACUCCUACGGGAGGCAGCAGUAGGGAAUCUUCCGCAAUGGGCGAAAGCCUGACGGAGCAACGCCGCGUGAGUGAUGAAGGUCUUCGGAUCGUAAAACUCUGUUAUUAGGGAAGAACAUAUGUGUAAGUAACUGUGCACAUCUUGACGGUACCUAAUCAGAAAGCCACGGCUAACUACGUG